RNAcentral lists this ribosomal RNA (252 nucleotides) under uncultured bacterium. RNAcentral describes it as "partial 16S ribosomal RNA". It matches the Rfam family "Bacterial small subunit ribosomal RNA", at positions 524 to 776 of the family's 1533-position model. The record is from RNAcentral.
UACGUAGGUGGCAAGCGUUAUCCGGAUUUAUUGGGCGUAAAGGGAACGCAGGCGGUCUUUUAAGUCUGAUGUGAAAGCCUUCGGCUUAACCGGAGUAGUGCAUUGGAAACUGGGAGACUUAGUGCAGAAGAGGAGAGUGGAACUCCAUGUGUAGCGGUGAAAUGCGUAGAUAUAUGGAAGAACACCAGUGGCGGAAGCGGCUCUCUGGUCUGUAACUGACGCUGAGGUUCGAAAGCGUGGGUAGCAAACAGG